UACGUAGGGGGCAAGCGUUGUCCGGAAUCAUUGGGCGUAAAGCGCGCGUAGGCGGCCCGGUAAGUCCGCUGUAAAAGUCCAGGGCUCAACCCUCGAAUGCCGGUGGAUACUGUCGGGCUAGAGUGCGGAAGAGGCGAGUGGAAUUCCUGGUGUAGCGGUGAAAUGCGCAGAUAUCAGGAGGAACACCAAUUGCGAAGGCAGCUCGCUGGAACGUAACUGACGCUGAGACGCGAAAGCGUGGGGAGCAAACAGG
This 253-nucleotide ribosomal RNA is filed under the name uncultured bacterium. RNAcentral's name for it is "partial 16S ribosomal RNA". It matches the Rfam family "Bacterial small subunit ribosomal RNA", at positions 524 to 776 of the family's 1533-position model. The record is from RNAcentral.